Molecule: long non-coding RNA, 4700 nt
Filed under: Rattus norvegicus (Norway rat)
Lineage: Eukaryota; Metazoa; Chordata; Mammalia; Rodentia; Muridae
Description: long non-coding RNA NONRATT024651
Rfam family: Small nucleolar RNA SNORD113/SNORD114 family (bases 1274-1356)
Source: RNAcentral
GAUCUCCAAGUUCUUCCUCAGUCUUGAGGUUUGGGAUUCCCGGUUUUUGUCAGUAGAAUUGUGAGAGUGUGAGUUCAUCCUAUUUUCUCAAGAACGAUUUGUUUUCUUGCAUGUAUUCCCUCUUCCGGUAUGAAUUUAGUAUCUUGGGAGAGCAACUGUAGACAGUGGUUCAAUAAGGAACGCAUACGAAAAAAAAUAUGGUCCAAACCAGAGUGUGCAAUGACAGAGGUAGUGACCACUGCCAAAGAUGCUCUAGAGUUUAAAGUCCACUCAAGCAUCUGGUAGUUAAUGUUAGUUUCCAAUGGAAAUCUAACCAGCAGUACUAGUGAUCAGCGGCUCAAUAAAUGCAGCACAAUUUAGAGCCUUGGUGGAUGAUGUUGGAUCAUUGAUGACCAAAAAAAAAAAAAAAACAUCUGGGAGUCCUCUGAGAUAUCCAUGAUGACCACAACAUUGGGAGUCUGAGGUCCACAUCAUAAUCUAUGCACUGCAUGCUGGGAUACUGGUGAGAGAUGUUAGAUAUAGUCCAAUUUCAACAAGGAGUUUACAUGUAGAUUAAUUAAUAUUUGGAAAUCGUGUCUACUGAUACAUAAUCCCAUAAGUAGAGUGCAAAUCAUUUAGACCGGGUAGAUCUGAGCCACAAACGAUGACAGAGGAAUCCCCAUAAGACAUGGAAAAUCAUUGUCUAUAUUCCUGGUGACGUCAGAGUCAUGGGUUUUGAUGUGUCAGGAAGACCAAUCCAAUUGGAUUGAUAGCUCAAGCAAGGGAUUGGAUAGAGGAGAAGUGAUCAAGGCAGAUAGAUGUAAAUUAUGGAUGAGUGAAGAGAAAGUUAAUCUUUUUGUCAUUUUUUUUCUGCAUUUUACUCUCAGAAUAGAUACCUCCAAGGUGAUCUCCAAGUUCUUCCUCAGUCUUGAGGUUUGGGAUUCCCGGUUUUUGUCAGUAGAAUUGUGAGUGUGUGAGUUCAUCCUAUUUUCUUCAGAACGAUUUCUUUCUUGCAUGUAUUCCCUCUUCCGGUAUGAAUUUAGUAUCUUGGGAGAGCAUCUGUAGACAGUGGUUCCAUAAGAAACGCCUAUGAAAAUAAUAUGUUCUAUUAACCGAUUUCUAUGAAGAGUAUGCAAUGACAGAGGUAGUGACCACUGCCAAAGAUGCUCUAGCGUUUAAAGUCCACUCAAGCAUCUGGUAGUUAAUGUUAGUUAUCAAUGGAAAUCUAACCAGCAGUACUAGUGAUCAGCUGUUCAAUAAAUGCAGCACAAUUUAGAGCCUGGGGGGAUGAUGUUGGAUCAUUGAUGACCUAAAAAAACAUCUGGGAGUCCUCUGAGACAUCCAUGAUGACCACAACAUUGGGAGUCUGAGGUCCACAUCAUAAUCUGUGCACUGCAUGCUCGGAUACUGGUUAGAGAUGUUAGAAAUAGUCCAAUUUCAACAAGCAGUUUACAUGUAGAUUAAUAUUUGGAAAUCGUGUCUACCGACACAUAAUCCCAUAAGUAGAGUGCAAAUCAUUUUGACCGGGUAGAUCUGAGCCAGAAACGAUGACAGAGGAAUCCCCAUAAGCCAUGGAAAAUCAUUGUCUAUGUUCCUGUUGACAUCAGAGUCAUGGUGGUUUUAUGGGUCAGGAAGAGCCAAUCCAAGUGGAUUGAUAGCUCAAGCAAGGGAUUGGAUAGAGGAGAAGUGAUCAGCUGUAAAUUAUGGAUGAGUAAAGAGAAAGUUAAUCUUUUUGUCAUUUUUUUUCUGCCUUUUACUCCCAGAAUACAUACCUCCACGGUGAUUUCAGAGUUCUUCCUCAGUCCUGAGGUUUGGGAUUCCCGGUUUGUGUCAGUAGAAUUGCGAGAGUGUGAGUUCAUCCUAUUUUCUUCAGUAUGAUUUUUUUCCUUGCAUGUAAUGCCUCUUCCCCUAUGAGUUGAUAAUCUUGGGAGAGCAACUGUAGACAGUGGUUAAAUAAGGAACGCAUACGAAAAAUAUAUGUUCCAUGAACUGAUACCUAUGAAGAGUGUGCAAUGACAGAUGUAAUGACCUUUGCCAAAGAUGCUCUAGAGUUUAAAAUCCACUCAAGCAUCUGGUAGUUAAUGUUAGUUUUCAAUGGAAAUCUAACCAGCACUACUAGUGUUCAGCCUCUCAAUAAAUGCAGCCCAGUUUAGAGCCUGGGGGGGAUGAUGUUGGAUCAUUGAUGACCAUAAAAGAUGUGGGAGUCGUCUGAAACAUGCAUGAUGACCACAACAUUGCGAGUCUGAGGUCCACAUCAUAAUCUAUGCACUGCAUACUGGGAUCCUGGUGAGAGAUGUUAGGAACAGUCUACUUUGAGCAUGUAGUUUUAAUGUAGAUUAAAGAAAAAAUUGGAAAUUGUGUCUACUAAGACAUAAUCCCAUAGGUAGUGUGCUAAUCAUCUUUACCGGGUAGUUUCUAAGUCAGAAACGAUGACAGAGGGAUCCCAAUAAGCCAUGGAAAGUCAUGGACUAUGUUCCUGGUGACGUCAGAGUCAUGGGCUUUGAUGUGUCAGGAAGAGCCAAUCCAAUUGGAUUGAUAAUUCAAGCAAGGGAUUGGAUAGAGGAGAAGUGAUCAAGGCAGAUAGAUGUAAAUUAUGGAUGAGUAAAGAGAAAGUUAAUCUUUUUGUCAUUUUUUUCUGCAUUUUACUCUCAGAAUAGAUACCUCCAAGGUGAUCUCCAAGUUCUUCCUCAGUCUUGAGGUUUGGGAUUCCCGGUUUGUGUCAGCACAAUUGUGAGAGUGUGAGUUCAUCCUAUUUUCUUCAGAACGAUUUUUUUCUUGCAUGUAUUCCCUUUUCCGGUAUGAAUUUAGUAUCUUGGGAGAGCAUCUGUAGACAGUGGUUCAAUAGGAACGCCUAAGAAAAUAAUAUGUUCCGUGAACCAAUUCCUAUGAAGACUGUGCAAUGACAGAGGUAGUGACCACUGUCCAAGAUGCUCUAGAGUUUAAAGUCCACUCAAGCAUCUGGUAGUUAAUGUUAGUUUUCAAUGGAAAUCUAACCAGCACUACUAGUGAUCAGCUGCUGAAUAAAUGGAGCACAAUUUAGAGCCUGGGGGGAUGAUAUUGGAUCAUUGAUGACCAUAAAAGAUGUGGGAGUCGUCUGAAACAUGCAUGAUGACCACAACACUGCGAGUUUUAGGUCCACAUCAUAAUCUAUGCACUGCAUGCUGGGAUCCUGGUGAGAGAUGUUAGAAAUAGACUACUUUGAACAAGGAGUUUACAUGUAGAUUAAUUAAAAUUUGGAAAUCGUGUCUAAUAAGACAUAAUCCCGUAGGAAGCUUGCUAAUCAUCUUGACCAGGUAGUAUCUGAAAUCCGAAAUGAUGACAGAGGAAUCCCCAUAAGCCAUGGAAAAUCAUUGGCUAUGUUCCUGGUGACGUCAGAGUCAUGGGGGAUUGAUGUGUCAGGAAGGGCCAAUCCAAGUGGAUUGAUAGCUCAAGCAAGGGAUUGGACGGAGGAGUAGUGAUCAAGGCAGAUAGCUGUAAAUUAUGUAUUAGUAAAUAGAAAGUUAAUCUUUUUGUCAUUUUUUUUCUACAUUUUACUCUCUGAAAAGAUACCUCCAAGGUGACUUCCAAGUUCUUCCUCAGUCCAGAGGUUUUGGUUUCUCAGUUUGAGUAAGCAGAAUGGGAGAGUGUGAGUUCAUCCUAUAUUCUUCUGUAUGGUUGUGGAUGACUUAAGGAUCUUGUUCCUAACCCUUUUUGACUCCUAGUCCCCUACAUGUUAUUAGGGAAAUGGCAGGGUAAUUAAUCAAUACGUGUAGAAAUGUAUUGUAGUUGACCUAUUUUGUAUCAAUAGUGACCACCAUGUUUACAGUUCUGUAUGUCUGAAGUCUACCCUGUAUUUUAACAGUGGUCCUCCUCACAGAUGUGAGAAUAGAGGCAGCAUUGUAUCCUUGUAGAUAGUAUUAAUGGAUACACAUGUAUAAAAAUAUAAAUAAGAAUUGUUCUGGGUUGGGGAUUUAGCUCAGUUGUAGAGCACUUGCCUAGCAAGUGCAAGGCCCUGGGUUCGGUCCCCAGCUCCGAAAAAAAGAAAAAAGAGAAGAAGAAAAAAAAAGAAUUGUGGUGAUAUUCAAAUUAUAGAAUAAGGAUGAAUGUAAUUUUGCUAUACAGUAGACAUAUUUGUUUUGUUUUGUUUUUUUUUAUCAGUAGCUCCAAUGUAUUUUCUCGGAUGACAUGGCCUGUAGACUUAACGGCUAAUGUUCUAAUUUUGACUUAGUAAAAUAUUCGUUGCCAUUCUGUUUCUGAAGAGUGAGUAGACAUGACUAGAUAAUUUAUAGGUAAGUUGAUGAGUCAGUGGCAUCUCGUUUUGUUCUUGUCUGUUCUCAGAGAGGCCCACUUCAGAUCAACGAGUGGAUCCUGUCUCAACCUAAGCUCUAAGGUUGCUUGUGCUGUUAGGGUCACAGCUACAGUGAGUGACAAUUACAGUAAUACUUUUUUAAUGUCUUUUUUUAGAUGACGGUACAUGUAGAGAUUCAGUGUGCUUAGCAUGAUCAGGGAUAGGCUCUUGUCACCAAACUAGUUACCACUACCUACAAUCUAUACACAUCAAAUACCAGAUGUCUUGGACUUAAAAGUCCAAAGAGAGGGGGAACUUUGGUAACUGCCUCUCUUGGUGAUAGUCCUGUAGUAAGUUGGUGAAAAGAUACAAGAGUUUUGUGAUUAAUUUUGUUCUUCAUGGACUUUGAUAUUAUUGUUACAAUUUCAUAUAUUAAAAUUAGAAAAAGUCAAUG